This 456-nucleotide ribosomal RNA is filed under the name uncultured bacterium. RNAcentral's name for it is "bacterial SSU rRNA". It matches the Rfam family "Bacterial small subunit ribosomal RNA", at positions 340 to 786 of the family's 1533-position model. The record is from RNAcentral.
UACGGGAGGCAGCAGCGGGGAAUAUUGCACAAUGGGCGAAAGCCUGAUGCAGCUAUGCCGCGUGUAUGAAGAAGGCCUUAGGGUUGUAAAGUACUUUCAUCGGGGAGGAAAAAACAAAACUAAUAAUUUUAUUUCUUGACGUUACCCGAAAAAGAAGCACCGGCUAACUCCGUGCCAGCAGCCGCGGUAAUACGGAGGGUGCUAGCGUUAAUCAGAAUUACUGGGCGUAAAGAGCACGUAGGUGGUUUUUUAAGUCAGAUGUGAAAUCCCUGGGCUUAACCUAGGAACUGCAUUUUGAAACUGAAAUACUAGAGUAUCGUAGAGGGAGGUAGAAUUCUAGGUGUAGCGGUGAAAUGCGUAGAUAUCUGGAGGAAUACCUGUGGCGAAAGCGGCCUCCUAAACGAAUACUGACACUGAGGGUGCGAAAGCGUGGGGAGCAAACAGGGAUUAGAUACC